This 2811-nucleotide ribosomal RNA is filed under the name Triticum aestivum (bread wheat). RNAcentral's name for it is "partial small subunit ribosomal RNA". The record is from RNAcentral. Lineage: Eukaryota; Viridiplantae; Streptophyta; Magnoliopsida; Poales; Poaceae.
AUGUCAUCCCCAUCAGCCUUUGCCAAGGAUCCCACUGUUGUAGAUAUGUUGCCGUCGUCCUCACAAUAUCUUGCUCCGGUGGGCAAGCCGAGGGCCCACCUGAGCGGUGGAGCAGGCCCUCCGACGCGGCCGAGGAGUUUGGGUAAUGCCGGGGUUGAGGCGGCCAAGGUCUCCACCAUCUCCAACAAGGGUGGCACCAUAACUGGUUCUACUACUACAACCCUAACCCUGCCUUACUGGCCUUCAACACCCAAUAUGUGGUGUACAAUGAUGUCUGGGCAGCCCGACCUACUCUCAGGGUGCAGGCUUGGGGGAUCCAACCCGGGAGGCGCCGGACGAGCUCAAGGGAAGGAGAUGCACAGACGGGCGGUCAAACCUGUGAAGUCCAAGGUCGUCGACCUGAUGGGUCAGCCUGUCCUCGGGCAUCCCAACCAGCCGGAUGAGGCAUCGAACGGCUCCUCCAAUUUAGGGAAGAGGAAAACGCUCGGGAGCAUCUUCUCUGGGGUCGAUGCAGUGGGUGACACCUCCGGGAAGCAGAAGCUGCCAGCAGCCACUGAGGAGGGGGGAGAGCUUCCGAGAGAGGCAACAAGUGGCAUCAGAGCCAUGUCGGGUACUUUGGCCGCCGGCAAUCGGUCACGUAUGCCCCUGCGCCUCCACGUGGAGUCACAGGAGCAGAGCCAGAGUAGAACCUGCGGCGGUGGCGGUGGUGAAGUGUUGGUGCAGCAGGUGACCUCUGGCGGCACCCUCCCGAUGCUGACACGCACCAACUAUGCAGAGUGGGCGCUGCUGAUGAAGGUUUACCUUCAAGCCCAUGGCUGGUGGGAGGCCGUGUCCAUUGGGAAUGCCUCCUACCACGACGAGCACAAUGCCAUGAUCACCAUCCCGCGAGACGUGCUGAACGCCGUUGACGAGGAGGAGAACGCCAAGGCUGUGUGGGAUGCCAUCGCAAUGCAGCGCAUGGGUGCCAGCUGGGUGCGCGAGGCAAACACACAUAAGCUGCGGCAUGACUUCGGGGGCAUCUCCUUCCGUGACGGCAAGACCAUCGCUGACUUCUCUGGGAACGUCACCAACCUGCGCGCGCUCGGUGACACGCUGGAGGAGCCCAAGGUAGUAGCCAAGUUCCUCCGUGUUGUGCCAUCCCAAUCCGUGCAGGUCGCCAUUGCCAUUGAGACACUGCUCGACCACACGGCUACCUCGAGCAUGCGGCGCCGGCAAGAGGCCGAGCGCGCCGUGGCAGAGGAGCGUGAGCGAGCGGCUGUAGCAGCGGCUGCUGCGGCGGCAAGAGUGUCGAGGCUGGCUGCAGCGGAGCUGGCAGCAGCCAGAGCGGAGGUAGAAGCAGCCAGGGCGGAGGUAGAAGCAGCAGCAGCAGCAGAAGCAGCCCGUGAGGCUACGGCGGAUGCCAAGGCACUCCGCGGCAGCCCCGGCAGCUCCAGCAGCUCCGCGCCCGCGGACGACGGCGCCGACGCAGAUCGCGCCAAAGUGGCGCAGGAGCGGACGGCGCAGUGGGCAGCCGAGCACGCCCGCGCUCCAGGUGGAGGCGUGCACCGCGACGGCGGCUGCAACGACCAGGACCGCGGCCUCUACGAGGUCCGGACUGUGGUCAGGGAUGUUGGUUCCAGUGUUGGGUGGCCUACCCUCACUAAAACCAACUACGUCGAGUGGGCCGGGAUCAUGAAGGUCAGGCUCCAGGUGCGGCGCAUGUGGGAGGCAGUCCAGGACAGCAACGUCGACCACCUAGAGGAUCGACGGGCGCUGGACGCCCUCAUCGCCGCAGUCCCGCCCGAGAUGCAGUUCUCGCUUUCCAACAAGCGGACUGCCAAGGAGGCUUGGGACGCCAUCGCCGCAGCACGCAUCGGCAGCGACCGUGCUCGCAAGUCCACCCUGCAGGCACUUCGUAAGGAGUGGGAGAACCUGGGCUUCAAGCCAGGUGAGGACGUUGAUGACUUUGCUCUCCGUCUCAACACUCUGCUGCAGAAGAUGGUGAAGUUUGGCGAUGCCACCUACACCGAGGAGAGAGCUGUCGAGAAGCUUUUUCGGUGCAUUCCCGAGAAGUACAAGCAGAUGGCUCGCUCGAUCGAGUCGUUGCUGGACCUCUCCACGAUGACGAUCGAGGAGGCGAUAGGAGUGGGAGGCCCGGAAGUAGCAACCCCGAGGCAACAACAGCUCUUCCUCUGGCGGGCGGAACAACCGCCUGAGGGGCAGUGCUCGUGGGGCGGUGCCCGCGGAGGUGGAUGCGAGAACGGCCAUGACCACAAGAGCGGCGGCGACAAAGACAAAUGCCGCUACUGUGGCAUAAAGGGCCAUUGGGCCCGUGAAUGCAGGAAAAAGAAGAGGGAGGAGGCACUCCUUGCUCGAGCCGACAAGGAGGCUGAUCCGGACUUGCUGCUGGCCGAUGUCGUGGAGAUCUCUGCCACGGCCGCGAAUUUCGCUGCCAUGGUAGCGGUUUCGCACCCUCCCAUAGCUGCAGUGGAAAAUCCUGCCAUGUCAGCGAAUUGGUUGCCACGACAGCGAUUCCAGUCUCGCCAUGGCAGCGGAUCUGAGCCCCACAAGUGGACGUGCCCCGUGAUCUUUCUCAACGAAGAGAAGGUAAAUGUCGUCCCCGCCGGCGACGACGAGCCUCGGGACACGGUGUGCUACCUUGACACCGGUGUGUCAAAUCGCAUGACCGGUGAUCUCGCAGCCUUCACCGAGCUUGACAUAUGGAUCGUUGGAACUGUGCGUUUCGGUGAUAGAUCCGUGGUGCGCAUCGAGGGGCGUGGCACCAUUGCCUUCUCCAUCGAUGGUGCCACUGAAAGGUCUAUGCACGAGUAG